GGAUCCGUGCCUGAGCGUUUAAGGACUACCCUGAUAUGGUAGAACACGAGGGUUAAAACCCCCCCGGCUCCU
This 72-nucleotide transfer RNA is filed under the name Electrophorus electricus (electric eel). RNAcentral describes it as "tRNA-Ile". It matches the Rfam family "tRNA". Rfam says of the family: Transfer RNA (tRNA) molecules are approximately 80 nucleotides in length. Their secondary structure includes four short double-helical elements and three loops (D, anti-codon, and T loops). Lineage: Eukaryota; Metazoa; Chordata; Actinopteri; Gymnotiformes; Gymnotidae. The record is from RNAcentral.